GGGGAAUCUUGCGCAAUGGGCGAAAGCCUGACGCAGCGACGCCGCGUGCGGGAUGAAGGCCUUCGGGUUGUAAACCUCUUUCAGCAGGGAAGAAGCUCUUGAGUGACGGUACCUGCAGAAGAAGCGCCGGCUAACUACGUGCCAGCAGCCGCGGUAAUACGUAGGGCGCGAGCGUUGUCCGGAAUUAUUGGGCGUAAAGAGCUCGUAGGCGGCUUGUCGCGUCGACCGUGAAAACUUGGGGCUCAACCCCAAGCCUGCGGUCGAUACGGGCAGGCUAGAGUUCGGUAGGGGAGACUGGAAUUCCUGGUGUAGCGGUGAAAUGCGCAGAUAUCAGGAGGAACACCGGUGGCGAAGGCGGGUCUCUGGGCCGAUACUGACGCUGAGGAGCGAAAGCGUGGGGAGCGAA
RNAcentral lists this ribosomal RNA (406 nucleotides) under uncultured bacterium. RNAcentral describes it as "bacterial SSU rRNA". It matches the Rfam family "Bacterial small subunit ribosomal RNA", at positions 356 to 772 of the family's 1533-position model. The record is from RNAcentral.